This 91-nucleotide transfer RNA is filed under the name Mycoplasmoides fastidiosum. RNAcentral's name for it is "tRNA-Ser". It matches the Rfam family "tRNA". Rfam says of the family: Transfer RNA (tRNA) molecules are approximately 80 nucleotides in length. Their secondary structure includes four short double-helical elements and three loops (D, anti-codon, and T loops). Lineage: Bacteria; Bacillati; Mycoplasmatota; Mycoplasmoidales; Mycoplasmoidaceae. The record is from RNAcentral.
GGAAUAGUACCCAAGUGGUUGAAGGGGAAGGCUUGGAAAGCUUUUAGGUAGGUAACACUGCGCGCAGGUUCGAAUCCUGUCUAUUCCGCCA